AACGAACGCUGGCGGCAUGCCUAACACAUGCAAGUCGAACGAGACCUUCGGGUCUAGUGGCGCACGGGUGCGUAACGCGUGGGAACUUGCCCUUAGGUUCGGAAUAACUCCCCGAAAGGGGUGCUAAUACCGGAUAAUGCCUUCGGACCAAAGAUUUAUCGCCUUUGGAUGGGCCCGCGUUGGAUUAGCUAGUUGGUAGGGUAAAAGCCUACCAAGGCGACGAUCCAUAGCUGGUCUGAGAGGAUGAUCAGCCACACUGGGACUGAGACACGGCCCAGACUCCUACGGGAGGCAGCAGUGGGGAAUAUUGGACAAUGGGCGAAAGCCUGAUCCAGCAAUGCCGCGUGAGUGAGGAAGGCCUUAGGGUUGUAAAGCUCUUUUACCCGGGAUGAUAAUGACAGUACCGGGAGAAUAAGCACCGGCUAACUCCGUG
RNAcentral lists this ribosomal RNA (433 nucleotides) under uncultured bacterium. RNAcentral describes it as "partial 16S ribosomal RNA". It matches the Rfam family "Bacterial small subunit ribosomal RNA", at positions 29 to 507 of the family's 1533-position model. The record is from RNAcentral.